GAUAAAACCACAGCAGCUUUUUUGAACUCAGAAGCAUCCAUUAACCCAAUAGCACAAGGAGAGACCUUGGGAGAAGAAGUCAUGAGGACAGUCAACUAGCUCUUUGAAGAGGUCCACGUGGUGGGAAACUGAGGCCUCCUGCCAACGGCCUUGUGAGUGAAUCAUCUUGGAGGUGGAUCCUCAAGCCCCUGUAAAACCUUCAGAUGACCACACAUCUGACUGACAUUUUGACCUCAAUGUUAUGAAAAAUCUUGAGGCCGAAGCACCCACCUAAACCAAUCCUGUAUUCUUCACCUACAGAAACUAUGAGGAAGAAGAGGACAGAUAUUGAGGGGCAACUAAUAGUAUCAGCACAAUGAACGCUCCAGAAGAAGAACCUGAGACUGUCAUCUCCUGGAAUGGGGCUCCCCAGAGCUUCCUCACUCAGGAUGUGCAUAAUGAAUGCAGCAGCCUGGGCAGGGGAGGGCGUCGCAUGCUGGGCCUGUGGUCCCAGGGGCAGCCUCGUCUUUCCCUGGUUCCUUCCAAAGCAAGGUAUUCUGGGCAGGGAGGGAUGAUUUAUGAUCUCUCUUUGGGCUCAGCGUGGUUGCUGUGCGAGGAAGGACGCUGCUCUGCACAGGAGCAGGAGCAGAGCAUCCACACAGCAUGCAGGGGAUUGCUGGACACAUCUCACAUAGUCAGGGUUGGAGAAGACCUCGUGAUCACCUGUUCAGCCUCUCAAGUCUACAGAGGCAGAAAAUGAGGCACAGGGAGAAAAUGGGGCCAGAUGAAGGCCCACUCCUAGCCCGUGCCAGAGCAGAGGAACGUCCACUCAUACCUAAUCCAGUGCAUUGUGCUGAUUCACCUCUCUUGGUGGUGAAUUUUCCCAUCUGGAAAACUAGGCUGAUAUUGUAGAUCCUAGCUUACAAAAAUGUUCUCGACUGGAAUGUGAAAGAAUACACAAUUGGGAG
RNAcentral lists this long non-coding RNA (947 nucleotides) under Papio anubis (olive baboon). RNAcentral describes it as "lncRNA (ENSPANG00000047667.1)". The record is from RNAcentral. Lineage: Eukaryota; Metazoa; Chordata; Mammalia; Primates; Cercopithecidae.